GGAGGAGUGCCGGAGCGGUCGAACGGGGCGGUCUCGAAAACCGUUGUGCGCGCAAGCGUACCGAGGGUUCGAAUCCCUCCUCCUCCG
RNAcentral lists this transfer RNA (87 nucleotides) under Rhodothalassium salexigens DSM 2132. It matches the Rfam family "tRNA". From Rfam's summary of the family: Transfer RNA (tRNA) molecules are approximately 80 nucleotides in length. The record is from Rfam by way of RNAcentral. Lineage: Bacteria; Pseudomonadati; Pseudomonadota; Alphaproteobacteria; Rhodothalassiales; Rhodothalassiaceae.